Molecule: transfer RNA, 77 nt
Filed under: Thalassovita gelatinovora
Lineage: Bacteria; Pseudomonadati; Pseudomonadota; Alphaproteobacteria; Rhodobacterales; Roseobacteraceae
Description: Thalassobius gelatinovorus tRNA_Arg_CCG
Rfam family: tRNA
About the family: Transfer RNA (tRNA) molecules are approximately 80 nucleotides in length. Their secondary structure includes four short double-helical elements and three loops (D, anti-codon, and T loops).
Source: RNAcentral
GCACCCAUAGCUCAGCUGGAUAGAGCGCUGCCCUCCGAAGGCACAGGCCAUAGGUUCGAAUCCUAUUGGGUGCACCA